Oreochromis niloticus (Nile tilapia) is the source of this 208-nucleotide long non-coding RNA. RefSeq lists it as uncharacterized. NCBI's taxonomy places the organism in Eukaryota, Metazoa, Chordata, Actinopteri, Cichliformes, Cichlidae. The transcript is spliced from 3 exons. The record is from RefSeq and is a predicted model, not a curated record.
CAUAAAUCCAGGAAAUUCACUUGACUAUGGUGCCCGUGAAAAUUUGCCAACCAUUCAGAACAGUUUGCAAUGCACUGUUGCCAUCGGUUUCGACUCCAUUAUUGGUUUCCUUCUGAAUAACUAUGGGACACAAGCAGCUCUGGUGUUUUUCACAUACAGCUCUGAUACAUUGGUGUGUGAUGUUCAGGUUGGUGGAACCACAGUCAAA